RNAcentral lists this ribosomal RNA (256 nucleotides) under uncultured bacterium. RNAcentral describes it as "partial 16S ribosomal RNA". It matches the Rfam family "Bacterial small subunit ribosomal RNA", at positions 524 to 776 of the family's 1533-position model. The record is from RNAcentral.
UACGGAGGGUGCGAGCGUUGUCCGGAAUCAUUGGGCGUAAAGGGCGCGUAGGUGGCCCGGUCAGUCUUUGGUGAAAGCGCGGGGCUCAACCCUGCGUCGGCCAGGGAUACUGCCGCGGCUCGAGCACUGUAGAGGCAGGCGGAAUUCCGGGUGUAGCGGUGGAAUGCGUAGAGAUCCGGAAGAACACCGGUGGCGAAGGCGGCCUGCUGGGCAGUUUGGCUGACACUGAGGCGCGACAGCGUGGGGAGCGAACAGG